GACGAACGCUGGCGGCGUGCUUAACACAUGCAAGUCGAACGAUUUAGUCGUCGGUCAUCAGACGUCAGACGUCAGGGGAACGAAUGGAACUGAAGAAAGAACUCGCUUUAGCGAAAUCUAUUCCGAAACCCUUACGACCGAUGUCCGAUGACUGACGACCGAAUAGUGGCGGACGGGUGAGUAACGCGUGGGCAACCUACCCAUAAGAGGGGGAUAACAGCUGGAAACGGCUGCUAAUACCGCAUAAGCUUUUUAGGACACAUGUUUUAGAAAGUAAAGGAGGCUUUAGCUUCCGCUUAUGGAUGGGCCCGCGUCUGAUUAGCUAGUUGGUAGGGUAACGGCCUACCAAGGCAACGAUCAGUAGCCGGCCUGAGAGGGUGGACGGCCACACUGGGACUGAGACACGGCCCAGACUCCUACGGGAGGCAGCAGUGGGGAAUAUUGCGCAAUGGGGGAAACCCUGACGCAGCGACGCCGCGUGAGCGAAGAAGGCCUCGGUGUAAGCUCUGUUGUAGGACG
This 519-nucleotide ribosomal RNA is filed under the name uncultured bacterium. RNAcentral's name for it is "bacterial SSU rRNA". It matches the Rfam family "Bacterial small subunit ribosomal RNA", at positions 28 to 445 of the family's 1533-position model. The record is from RNAcentral.